Molecule: long non-coding RNA, 839 nt
Filed under: Homo sapiens (human)
Lineage: Eukaryota; Metazoa; Chordata; Mammalia; Primates; Hominidae
Description: long non-coding RNA NONHSAT150887.1
Source: RNAcentral
UUAGUUACUAGAAUGUUUUUCUCAACUAUGAAUCUGACUUCACUCCCUUUCUUGAAAACCUCCUGUAGUUCCUGUUGUGUACGGGAUAAAGGUAACACUCUUCAUAUGCCAUGGAACUGCAUUCAUUAUAUUGGUAUAAUUUUAUUUGUCUUUUUUCUUCCUAGACUGUGAGCCCCUGGAGUUCAGGGACCAUUUCUUAAUCAUAUUCCAGAACCUAUCACAAUGAAUGACACGAAGAAUAUAUUUGAUAAAAAUCUGAUGAAUGAACCACUCUAAAAUGCAACUCUAAUAAAGAAAAUUACUGCCUAUUCAGUUGGAACUGUUGCUUACCAUGGGGCUGCGCAGGUGGAAAGCAGCCCAGUCUUACUAUGAGGAUGUCCGUUUGCCAUCUGGGAACAAGGAGGAAGAAGCAGAGACCUGGGCAAGACCUCAGAGUCAGGAAUAAAUUAUCUCAAUGGCUACUUACAUGGUCCAGCAUAGCAGAAAAAAAAGCCACACUGAGCAAGCAGUGGUCCUUUCCAUGCUACACAAGCAAGAAAUGCCUAUAAAGACAGACUUGAGUGCAGUCUAAAGAAUCUUUUGCUUUGCCUUAACACUCUACUUCUGGAUAUCCUUGCUCAAAAAGAAGUCUACUCAAGGUGGAAGAAAUUUAAAAGUGGGACAGGGAGGUUCCUGUGGACAGAAACAUCUGCUUCCUGCUUAUCCUGUAUCUCAGCAUCUGAAUGGUCAUGACUGGAACACAGGCAGACUUCAGAAAUAAAUACAUAAAUAUCUCAUACUCCUCGAAUCUUUUAGAAAAAGAGUGUGGGUAACAAUAAACAUAUCUGCUGAGAAAUGAC